UACGAACGGUGCAAGCGUUACUCGGAAUCACUGGGCGUAAAGCGCACGUAGGCGGACUCGUAGGCCAAUUGUGAAAUACCUGGGCUCAACCCGGGAACUGCAGUUGAAACCGCUUGUCUUGAAUACCUGAGAGGGUGGGGGAAUACCUGGUGGAGAAGUGAAAUUCGUAGAGAUCAGGUGGAACACCGGAGGCGAAGGCGCCUGCCUGGCAGUGUAUUGACGCUGAGGUGCGAAAGUGCGGGGAGCAAACAGG
This 253-nucleotide ribosomal RNA is filed under the name uncultured bacterium. Its description in RNAcentral is "partial 16S ribosomal RNA". It matches the Rfam family "Bacterial small subunit ribosomal RNA", at positions 524 to 776 of the family's 1533-position model. The record is from RNAcentral.